Acanthosepion pharaonis is the source of this 113-nucleotide non-coding RNA. NCBI's taxonomy places the organism in Eukaryota, Metazoa, Mollusca, Cephalopoda, Sepiida, Sepiidae. The record is from the annotation of a GenBank genome assembly.
UUACGGCCACACUAAGUCGAAUCACCGGUUCCCGUACGAUCAAUAAAGUUAAGCAACAUUGAGCAUGGCCAGUACCUAGACGGGUGACCGCAUGGGAAUACCAGGUGCUGUAA